CAGCUGUGAUGUCUUCAAUCUGGUUUUGCUUUGUUGGACAGUUUGUGAAAACACCUCUUGGCUGUCUGAGCAG
Small nucleolar RNA from Pseudophryne corroboree (corroboree frog), 73 nucleotides. RefSeq annotates it as small nucleolar RNA SNORD53/SNORD92. NCBI's taxonomy places the organism in Eukaryota, Metazoa, Chordata, Amphibia, Anura, Myobatrachidae. The record is from RefSeq and is a predicted model, not a curated record. The transcript has a single exon.